AAGCAAACCAUUUUACUCAACACGUGGGGUAGACAACAUAAUCAGCUUAAGGCAACGACGAAUUUAAAGUGGAGCUAUCUCUCCUUCCUCUAAUUCAUCUUCCAUUGGUAAAAUGUCACCCAGCAAUGACCAAUACUUUUCUCCAAUCGGGUCCAUCUCUUUCGUUGACAUAACUUGUGAAUCAAAACUUAUCAAUGUAUCACCAAGUACAGAUGCAGUGUCCUCCUCGACAACUGAUAACACGUCUGAUGACUUGUUAGAGGUCUGGAAUGUUG
This 275-nucleotide unclassified non-coding RNA is filed under the name Hevea brasiliensis (rubber tree). Lineage: Eukaryota; Viridiplantae; Streptophyta; Magnoliopsida; Malpighiales; Euphorbiaceae. The record is from RNAcentral.